GAUAAACGCUGGCGGCGCACAUAAGACAUGCAAGUUGAACGGACUUAAUCGAAAUAUUUAUAUUUUGAAGCGGUUAGUGGCGGACUGGUGAGUAACGCGUAAGGAACCUGCCUAUUAGAGGGGAAUAACAGUGAGAAAUCAUUGCUAAUACCGCAUAUGCCAUAGAUAUCACAUGAUAACAGUGGGAAAGGAGCAAUCCGCUAAUAGAUGGCCUUGCGUCUGAUUAGAUAGUUGGUGGGGUAACGGCCUACCAAGUCGACGAUCAGUAGCCGGACUGAGAGGUUGGACGGCCACAUUGGGACUGAGCUACGGCCCAGACUCCUACGGGAGGCAGCAGUCGGGAAUAUUGCGCAAUGGAGGAAACUCUGACGCAGUGACGCCGCGUAUAGGAAGAAGGUUUUCGGAUUGUAAACUAUUGUCGUUAGGGAAGAGAAAGGACAGUACCUAAGGAGGAAGCUCCGGCUAACUACGUG
RNAcentral lists this ribosomal RNA (473 nucleotides) under uncultured bacterium. Its description in RNAcentral is "partial 16S ribosomal RNA". It matches the Rfam family "Bacterial small subunit ribosomal RNA", at positions 28 to 507 of the family's 1533-position model. The record is from RNAcentral.